Molecule: long non-coding RNA, 1005 nt
Filed under: Triticum aestivum (bread wheat)
Lineage: Eukaryota; Viridiplantae; Streptophyta; Magnoliopsida; Poales; Poaceae
Description: long non-coding RNA (TAES_LNC013241)
Source: RNAcentral
AACAAUGUAGAUGAAAAACAGAAAAACUCUGAUGAAUGUUCUGUUUCCUUGUAAUAAUCCGAUACACCAUGAACGUGAGAAACAGACGUUUCUUAAAGACGACUGACUAAAACAGUGGAGGUUUGAUAGCAAGGCCAUGAACAAAACAACUGCGAGUUGUUUUAUAGCGCACACCUUAACUAAUUAUCUUUUCAGAGAGCAGGGAAGCUUUGCCAAAUCUGUGUUAUUACCCCAGCAUCUUCAGUUCAUGAAUACGUACCCAGUCGUCUCAACUUGCAGCGAAGUCACAGACCACGAGUCUAACAACGGCUACAUUUGGCACUUUGUGACCUGCUAAAUUGCGAAAUAAUCCAUCACUGCCUUGAGUAUUUAAUAACAUAUAUAUACAGCAGGAUGGUCGAUGGUUCAGCUCAGAUUAAAAUUAUUUACUUACCCUCUGCAUAAUGGUUGAUUGUCUUGUUCUAUAAGCAGGGAAACUUGGGGUCCAAGUUCCAGGCUUCCAACCCAUCGGUGGUUUCUUGGCAUGCAGGGAAACUUGUGUUCCAAGUUCUAGGCUUCCAACCAAUCGGUGGUUUUCUGAACUUAAUAUCUCAUUGGCAUGCUGCACUGAUGUAGUGUCAUAUGUCAACAAGCUUUAAUUAAAAAAGUGUCUGUGGAUGGAAGUUUCAGGGACACUACAUCCAAAUUCAGUAUUAAUUUAUCCAUGUGGUAUACCAUCAGAAUGGGACUUCUCAGCUAUAUAACAUCAUUGAACGCUGGAGCACCUCCUACUUCUGUGCAUCCAUUUGUUCAAGACGUACGAGCUUGUUAAGUUCUACCUUUAUUUGUUGUAGAAUAAGUAACAGAGAAAUGGAACCGCAGGAAGGAAGGAAAGGAAUACCAUCUCUGCUGUCCUCACAGGGGGAGUGCAUCGCCACCAACAUCACGCAGGUGCCUACUUUCUUUGUAUAUAGUCACUAUUCCUUUACUGUAAAAAGCUUGUUAUCUUUAAUUUGCAAGUUUAUU